UACUAGUCAACCACUUCUUCAACCAGCAGAGACAAAAUGCAGGUUUUCGUAGUAGAAUCCUGUGGCCAUUCUGAACGAGCUCUCUCUCUCUCUCUUCUUCCCCAAAGAAAGAGAAAGCAAGAAGAAAUUAAUCCAGUGCCAUAUAUGUGUAAUAUCACAAUUUUUGAAACCCACAUGUUUUCUGGCAUCUGCUUAUCUUUCCCAGUCUUUAUUCUCUGUCUAUGUCUUUGUCCUUGUCCUCGGUUAUGCUUAGCAAGGGAUACCAUAUUGUUCAAUGCUCCACUUAAGGACCAAGAGACUCUUGUUUCUGCUGGAAAAAGAUUUAAGCUCGGAUUUUUUUCCCCUAAUGGAGGUGAUAAUAGCAGUAGAUACCUGGGGAUCUGGUAUUGGGGCUCAAACCCGAGUAUUGUAGUUUGGGUUGCUAACCGUGAAGUUCCAAUUCGGGAUUCAACUGGAGUUUUUUCCAUUGCAGAAGAUGGAAACAUCAACGUAUUGGAUGCAUAUAAUAAAUCUUACUGGUCCACUGAAAUUGGAUCAUCAGCGUCGUUUGUUUUCAACCGGACGUUGAAGCUCCUGGAUUCUGGGAACCUAGUCCUAAUUCAAGAAGGUGAUAACGGAAAAAUACUCUGGCAGAGCUUCGAGCAUCCAACUGAUACAUUUCUUCCUGGCAUGAGGAUGGAUAGGAAGUUGAAAUUGGUUUCUUGGAAAAGUCAAGUAGACCCUGCACCGGGGGACUUCACGUUUCAGCUAGAUCAAGAGAGACAAAAUCAGUACAUAAUCUUGAAUAGAUCUGUACCAUAUUGGAAAAGUGAAGUUUCAGAAAUGCUUGCCCGCACUGAUCAGAGGCUCCAGAUUAUUUCCUACUUGCUUACAAAUUUCAGCACGAGUAGCUUGUUAAGCAGUGAUACAUCUCCUUCACAAAAAACUCUGGCUCUCAAUGUGACCAACCGGGAUUACAAUAAUACAAGACUGGUAAUGAAUUUAAAUGGGACGAUACAAUUUUUUUGGCCAGGUAAUGAGACGGCCUCUUUGAAGUGGUGGGAACCAAGAGAUCAGUGUAGUGUAUUUAACGCCUGUGGGAAGUUUAGUAGCUGCAACAGUGAGAACAGCUUGCCCUGUAAAUGCUUGCCGGGAUUUAAGCCCAACAAACCGGAAAAUUGGUAUGCAGGGGAUUUUUCAUAUGGGUGUAAAAGAAUAUCGCCAAUAUGCAGCAAGUAUGCCAAGGAGAUUGGCGACUUCCUUAAUCUGAAGAAGAUGAAAGUGGGAAACCCAGACGGGGUAUAUGAGAAUUUGAAUGAAACUGCAUGCAAGGACAAGUGCCUCAGCAAUUGCACAUGCCAGGCAUAUUCUUAUCUUAAAGCUGAAAGGAGUGAUGCCAGUAACGCUAUAUGUUGGAUUUGGAUACAAGACCUUAACAAUAUUCAGGAGAAUUAUGAAAGGGGUCGAGACCUCAAUUACCGCGUCCUGCUUUCUGAUAUAGAUCAUAUGAAAAGAAGUUGUAAAACUUGUGGCAUCCACAUCAUCCCUUACCCACUCAGCACUGGACGAAAUUGUGGUGAUCCACGGUACAGCUAUUUCAGGUGUGAAAAUGAGACUGGUCAAUUGAGCUUUUUAACAAAUGACUUUAGCAGCUAUCCAGUAACUGGCAUCAACAGAGACUCGCGUACAUUUUCCAUCCAAAUUGAAGAAGCAGAUUGUCCAUCUGUUGGUUCAAAUCUGCAGCUUCCCUGGCAAUUUAACAUAACUAGUGAAUGCAAUGCUUAUCAAAGUAACUAUAGUUUAGAUCUAUUUAAACGCGAAGGGUUAAAAAAAGAAUUAGAAAUAAAAUGGAAGCCUCCAUUAGCACCAGCUUGUGAUAAACCUGAUGACUGCAUUGACUGGCCAAAUUCAACUUGUUCUGGCCAGAAUGAGGCGAAGUCAUGCACUUGCGAAGAAUCCUUUCAAUGGGAUUCGAAGGAAGUAAAUUGUACUUCAGAUCCAUCUCAAGGAUCUAACAAACAGAGACCAGAAUCAAAAAACAAAAGCAAGAAACGGAUACCAUUUUAUCAAGUCUUGUUGGGAGUUAUUGCAACUGUUACAAUAAUCUCAUAUGCAGCAUUCUAUUUGUAUUACAUGAGAAGACGAAGAAGACGGGUCACUGUACAAGAUAACAGAGAAAGAGCCCUGGAAACUGUAGCAAUUUGUUUGUAUGACAGUCAAAGACAAGUCAAAGACUUCAUAGAUUCGAGUCGAUUUAGGGAAGAUGACAAGAAAGGCCUGGAUGUACCAUUUGUUGAUUUGGAAAGCAUAUUAGCUGCUACAGAUAACUUCUCAGAUGCAAACAAGCUAGGAAAAGGUGGUUUUGGGCCUGUUUACAAGGUAAAUUAUUCUCUCUGCAAUUAUUUUUGAAAGAAAACAGAUUUGGGUACAUUCAUGAUGGGUCAACUCAGACCCAGGGCUUUUUUUUUCCAAUUUAUUGUACAAAAAAAAUGAAAACUUAUUUCCCAAAUCAGAGUAAAAUUGUACACAUGGACAAAGUCUUGGGGAGAACUGACACUCAAAUGGGCAAGUUGUGCAUUGUGGCGUGCAGUGGCCGCACAACUUGCACAUUGUGGCGUGCAGUGGCCGCACAACUUGCACAUUGGAAAAUUUUGGCUAGGUUUUGUCCAGGAGAGCUUGGGAGCAAGGCAGUGUUUUUGGUGCUUUAACUUGGCAGAAAUGCUAGCAUUUCGUAGUCACUUUUUCAGUUUAAAGGAAGUGAUAUAGGGUGCUUCAAAAUUAUUCAGGCAAAGCCACAUAACUAUUUCUCAUUUUAAUUCUUGGAGUAAAACUGAAUUACAGGUACAUUUAAACCAUGCCAAUAUAAAUAUAGUUCAUUAAAUAAUGUGAUCAUAUUUUGGAUUGGUGAUUUAAGAGUUUGCAUGUCCAUAGAUUAGAACUCAUGGUUUUAUAUUCCUAACAUCAUCCUUUUUUUAAUUUCUUUUGUUGCUGUGAAGUAAUAUCAUCAAUUUGGUCAAAAGACAAACUAUAUUCAUAUGGAGAUUUAGGAUUCCCAAAGGAGGAAUAUAAGUUCCUUACAGUUUGAUUAUAGUGUAUGAAUCUAAUUAGCAAGAUUGGGAGCAAACCAAUUGCCAAUUAGGAAAACCUUUAGGGUUUCAAGUAACUUGAUAUUGAUUUUACAAUCUGUGCAUGGAACUAUGUCAAGGGAAAGUUUCAAGGAGGACAAGAAAUUGCUAUAAAGCGACUAUCCAGUGGUUCAGGACAAGGUUUGGAGGAAUUCAAGAAUGAAGUUAUAUUGAUUGCCAAGCUUCAACAUCGGAAUCUUGUUAGACUUCUGGGCUAUUGUGUUGAAGGACAUGAAAGGAUGCUACUUUAUGAAUACAUGCCUAACAAGAGCCUAGAUUCCUUCAUAUUUGACGAAACGAAAUGUGCACUGUUAAAUUGGGAGCUGCGCUUUACCAUUAUCAUGGGAAUUGCUCGAGGACUACUUUAUCUUCACCAUGAUUCCAGAUUGAGGAUCAUACACAGAGAUCUGAAGACAAGUAAUGUCCUUUUAGAUGAGGAGAUGAACCCCAAAA
This 3557-nucleotide unclassified non-coding RNA is filed under the name Hevea brasiliensis (rubber tree). Lineage: Eukaryota; Viridiplantae; Streptophyta; Magnoliopsida; Malpighiales; Euphorbiaceae. The record is from RNAcentral.